CUUUAUCAGUUUUCGUUUUUGAAGAUCAUUACUCACCAAGUUUUCUGGAAUUGAUUAAGAGCUACGCGAAUUUGUUUUUCUUGUUUGUGAAAAGACGAUUCAAUUUCGUCUUUGUCUGUGAACACCCCCCUUUUUUACGGCAAAUCAUUAGACAAUGUCAUGCGAUAUUUAUGACAGCUGAGCAAGAAUAUUUCAUCGAACUAAAAUUUGAAAUGAUGACAAAAUAGCAUAAAAACAUUUUGUUAGAAUGGUGAAAUGUAUAUUUAUUUUGCAUUUUUUUUCUGUCUUGAAAGAUAUUUUUUUUUCUUUUUUUUCCCGACCGACCGACCCGACUUUUUCAUGGGGAAAAUCCGUAAACCAACAAAUUAAAAAAACGUGGCCU
Molecule: long non-coding RNA, 382 nt
Filed under: Mytilus galloprovincialis (Mediterranean mussel)
Lineage: Eukaryota; Metazoa; Mollusca; Bivalvia; Mytilida; Mytilidae
Source: RNAcentral